This 372-nucleotide ribosomal RNA is filed under the name uncultured eukaryote. RNAcentral describes it as "partial 18S ribosomal RNA". It matches the Rfam family "Eukaryotic small subunit ribosomal RNA", at positions 592 to 976 of the family's 1831-position model. The record is from RNAcentral.
CGAUAGCGUAUAUUAAAAUUGUUGCAGUUAAAAAGCUCGUAGUUGGAUUUCUGGGUACUUGGAAUCUUGAUCCUGAUGGUGAUGGAUACCAAGCACUCAUCCUUCUGUUAACCUCUCUCGGACUUUAUUGUUCGGAGUUGGAGCUCAGAUACUUUACCUUGAGGAAAUUAGAGUGUUCCAGGCAGGCUUGCGCCGGAAUACAUUAGCAUGGAAUAAUAGAAUAGGACUUCAUCCUUUUUGUUGGUUUAGAGGCUGAAGUAAUGAUUAAUAGGGAUAGUUGGGGGCAUUAGUAUUUCAUUGUCAGAGGUGAAAUUCUUUGAUUUGUGAAAGACUAACUUAGGCGAAAGCAUUUGCCAAGAAUGUUUUCAUUAA